RNAcentral lists this ribosomal RNA (253 nucleotides) under uncultured bacterium. RNAcentral describes it as "partial 16S ribosomal RNA". It matches the Rfam family "Bacterial small subunit ribosomal RNA", at positions 524 to 776 of the family's 1533-position model. The record is from RNAcentral.
UACGUAGGGUGCAAGCGUUGUCCGGAAUUAUUGGGCGUAAAGAGCUCGUAGGCGGUUUGUCGCGUCGGGAGUGAAAUCCACUGGCUUAACUGGUGGCUUGCUUUCGAUACGGGCAGACUGGAGGUAUGCAGGGGAGAACGGAAUUCCUGGUGUAGCGGUGAAAUGCGCAGAUAUCAGGAGGAACACCGAUGGCGAAGGCAGGUCUCUGGGCCACUACUGACGCUGAGAAGCGAAAGCAUGGGGAGCGAACAGG